UUUAAAGAGAGUUUGAUCCUGGCUCAGGACGAACGCUGGCGGCGUGCCUAAUACAUGCAAGUCGAACGAACGGAGGAAGAGCUUGCUCUUCCAAAGUUAGUGGCGGACGGGUGAGUAACACGUGGGCAACCUGCCUGUAAGUUGGGGAUAACUCCGGGAAACCGGGGCUAAUACCGAAUGAUAAAGUGUGGCGCAUGCCACGCUUUUGAAAGAUGGUUUCGGCUAUCGCUUA
RNAcentral lists this ribosomal RNA (232 nucleotides) under Listeria monocytogenes. Its description in RNAcentral is "partial 16S ribosomal RNA". It matches the Rfam family "Bacterial small subunit ribosomal RNA", at positions 1 to 221 of the family's 1533-position model. Lineage: Bacteria; Bacillati; Bacillota; Bacilli; Caryophanales; Listeriaceae. The record is from RNAcentral.